CCUACGGGAGGCAGCAGUAGGGAAUCUUUCACAAUGGGCGAAAGCCUGAUGGAGCAACGCCGCGUGCAGGAUGAAGGCCUUCGGGUUGUAAACUGCUUUUAUAAGCGAGAAAUAUGAUGGUAACUUAUGAAUAAGGAUCGGCUAACUACGUGCCAGCAGCCGCGGUCAUACGUAGGAUCCGAGCAUUAUCCGGAGUGACUGGGUGUAAAGAGUUGCGUAGGUGGCAUAAUAAGUAGCUAGUGAAAUCUGGUGGCUCAACCAUUCAGACUAUUAGCUAAACUGUUAAGCUCGAGACCGUUAGGGGUAACUGGAAUUUGUAGUGUAGGAGUGAAAUCCGUAGAUAUUAGAAGGAACACCAAUAGCGUAGGCAGGUUGCUGGGACGGUUCUGACACUAAGGCACGAAAGCGUAGGGAGCAAACGGGAUUAGAUACCCGAGUAGUC
RNAcentral lists this ribosomal RNA (442 nucleotides) under uncultured bacterium. RNAcentral describes it as "partial 16S ribosomal RNA". It matches the Rfam family "Bacterial small subunit ribosomal RNA", at positions 338 to 795 of the family's 1533-position model. The record is from RNAcentral.